UACGUAGGGGGCUAGCGUUGCUCGGAAUCACUGGGCGUAAAGGGUGCGUAGGCGGGUCUUUAAGUCAGGGGUGAAAUCCUGGAGCUCAACUCCAGAACUGCCUUUGAUACUGAAGAUCUUGAGUUCGGGAGAGGUGAGUGGAACUGCGAGUGUAGAGGUGAAAUUCGUAGAUAUUCGCAAGAACACCAGUGGCGAAGGCGGCUCACUGGCCCGGAACUGACGCUGAUGUGCGAAAGCGUGGGGAGCAAACAGG
This 253-nucleotide ribosomal RNA is filed under the name uncultured bacterium. RNAcentral describes it as "partial 16S ribosomal RNA". It matches the Rfam family "Bacterial small subunit ribosomal RNA", at positions 524 to 776 of the family's 1533-position model. The record is from RNAcentral.